RNAcentral lists this ribosomal RNA (253 nucleotides) under uncultured bacterium. RNAcentral describes it as "partial 16S ribosomal RNA". It matches the Rfam family "Bacterial small subunit ribosomal RNA", at positions 524 to 776 of the family's 1533-position model. The record is from RNAcentral.
CACGUAGGGCGCGAGCGUUGUCCGGAAUUACUGGGCGUAAAGGGCGCGUAGGCGGCCAACUAAGUCAGACGUGAAAUCCCUCGGCUCAACCGGGGAACUGCGUCUGAUACUGGAUGGCUUGAAUUCGGGAGAGGGAUGCGGAAUUCCAGGUGUAGCGGUGAAAUGCGUAGAUAUCUGGAGGAACACCGGUGGCGAAGGCGGCAUCCUGGACCGAGAUUGACGCUGAUGCGCGAAAGCCAGGGGAGCAAACGGG